UACGUAGGGUGCAAGCGUUAAUCGGAAUUACUGGGCGUAAAGCGUGCGCAGGCGGUUCGCUAAGACAGAUGUGAGAUCCCCGGGCUUAACCUGGGAACUGCAUUUGUGACUGGCGGGCUAGAGUAUGGCAGAGGGGGGUAGAAUUCCACGUGUAGCAGUGAAAUGCGUAGAGAUGUGGAGGAAUACCGAUGGCGAAGGCAGCCCCCUGGGCCAAUACUGACGCUCAUGCACGAAAGCGUGGGGAGCAAACAGG
This 253-nucleotide ribosomal RNA is filed under the name uncultured bacterium. RNAcentral's name for it is "partial 16S ribosomal RNA". It matches the Rfam family "Bacterial small subunit ribosomal RNA", at positions 524 to 776 of the family's 1533-position model. The record is from RNAcentral.